Polypterus senegalus (gray bichir) is the source of this 239-nucleotide long non-coding RNA. RefSeq lists it as uncharacterized. NCBI's taxonomy places the organism in Eukaryota, Metazoa, Chordata, Cladistia, Polypteriformes, Polypteridae. The transcript is spliced from 2 exons. The record is from RefSeq and is a predicted model, not a curated record.
AAGAGGUGAGCCUUUCCACAAACUUGAAAUAGCGGCAUUAUUAAAUUUAAGUAUCGUGUGUUUGGUGAACAAAGUGAAAUAAACAAAGCUUAAGACCAUGGCGUGGACCCCCUCUGGUCAAUUCUUGCUGGCAUAGGCAGAUCUCAGUUUCAAUUUGCUAAUUGGACAUAGAGUUGCCACAAGAACCAAAUGCUUAGUACGAUGUUGAUGCCAAAGUUCCAAAAAUAUAACGGUACAAG